This 465-nucleotide ribosomal RNA is filed under the name uncultured bacterium. Its description in RNAcentral is "partial 16S ribosomal RNA". It matches the Rfam family "Bacterial small subunit ribosomal RNA", at positions 28 to 507 of the family's 1533-position model. The record is from RNAcentral.
GACGAACGCUGGCGGCGUGCUUAACACAUGCAAGUCGAACGGUGAACUCCGCUUGCGGGGGGAUCAGUGGCGAACGGGUGAGUAACACGUGGGCAACCUGUACUCAGCUCUGGGAUAACUCCAAGAAAUUGGGGCUAAUACCGGAUAUGACCGCUGACCGCAUGGUCUGGUGGUGGAAAGAUUUAUCGGCUGGGGAUGGGCCCGCGGCCUAUCAGCUUGUUGGUGGGGUAGUGGCCUACCAAGGCGACGACGGGUAGCCGGCCUGAGAGGGUGACCGGCCACACUGGGACUGAGACACGGCCCAGACUCCUACGGGAGGCAGCAGUGGGGAAUAUUGCGCAAUGGGCGAAAGCCUGACGCAGCGACGCCGCGUGGGGGAUGACGGCCUUCGGGUUGUAAACCUCUUUCAGCAGGGACGAAGCGAAAGUGACGGUACCUGCAGAAGAAGCACCGGCCAACUACGUG